Molecule: non-coding RNA, 196 nt
Organism: Francisella tularensis subsp. tularensis
Lineage: Bacteria; Pseudomonadati; Pseudomonadota; Gammaproteobacteria; Thiotrichales; Francisellaceae
Rfam family: 6S / SsrS RNA
About the family: E. coli 6S RNA was the first non coding RNA to be sequenced, but its function was unknown until recently. It consists of 184 nucleotides that fold into an extended hairpin structure with a large single-stranded internal bulge.
Source: Rfam
AGUUGUCUGGGUUAUUGGUGAUUUAGUUACAAUCUUGUACCGAUACUACUUAGAAAAGGGAGCCUUGGUGUUUUGACUAGAGAGCAAGCUUUGAUGCUCUUGCAUUGACAAAGAAGCCCAACGUUGAAACUAUGGCACCCACCUUGAUACCAUAGGGAUCAAGAAUAUUGAACUAAAACGGUAAUCUGGACAACUA